This 483-nucleotide ribosomal RNA is filed under the name uncultured bacterium. RNAcentral's name for it is "partial 16S ribosomal RNA". It matches the Rfam family "Bacterial small subunit ribosomal RNA", at positions 28 to 523 of the family's 1533-position model. The record is from RNAcentral.
GACGAACGCUGGCGGCGUGCUUAACACAUGCAAGUCGAACGAUGAUGCCCAGCUUGCUGGGUGGAUUAGUGGCGAACGGGUGAGUAACACGUGAGUAACCUGCCCCUGACUCUGGGAUAAGCGUUGGAAACGACGUCUAAUACUGGAUAUGAUCACUGGCCGCAUGGUCUGGUGGUGGAAAGAUUUUUUGGUUGGGGAUGGACUCGCGGCCUAUCAGCUUGUUGGGGGGGUAAUGGCUCCCCAAGGCGACGACGGGUAGCCGGCGUGAGAGGGUGACCGGCCACACUGGGACUGAGACACGGCCCAGACUCCUACGGGAGGCAGCAGUGUGGAAUAUUGCACAAUGGGCGAAAGCCUGAUGCAGCAACGCCGCGUGAGGGAUGACGGCCUUCGGGUUGUAAACCUCUUUUAGUAGGGAAGAAGCGAAAGUGACGGUACCUGCAGAAAAAGCACCGGCUAACUACGUGCCAGCAGCCGCCGUAA